This is an RNA transcript of Arachis stenosperma, 5413 nucleotides long. RefSeq lists it as uncharacterized. Lineage: Eukaryota; Viridiplantae; Streptophyta; Magnoliopsida; Fabales; Fabaceae. The transcript is spliced from 4 exons. The record is from RefSeq and is a predicted model, not a curated record.
CAUUCGUGUCCCCCAUCUGAAGCAAAGCAAAACAUAUCAAAAAAAAUAAAAAAUCAAUCAUUUUUCAUCUUCUUCAAUUUUCCUAAUCAUUCGUGCCCCCCUCUGAAGCAAAGCAGUGAAAGUCCCAAACCAAAACGGCAAAACCUAGCCCUAGGUUCUUUGCCGCCGAUGUCCCCAGGCUCAGCGCUUUCGCUUCUUCCUCUUUCCUCUGUCUGGAAUCCAGGUAGCUCGGCACGUCGUCCCAAUCCUCGCUGGCUUUUCUGUCCGUGGCAAGGGAAAAAGGAGGAAUCGAAGUCCAAUCGCAAGUUAGAUAAAAAGGUUCAAUUUUACUCUAAGGUGAAAGAUGCUGUGACUUGCUUGAGUGCUCAAAGGUCUAUUACUAAGGUAAUGAUCUUAUUUCAAACGGCAUUGUUAUUAAGAUGGAUUAUGGAAAUACUUCAUUGUGCUUGUAACAGGUUUAAGGGCUAGUUAAAUGUACUUUGCACUGUUAUUAUGUUCAUAGAUACUUUGAAUAUUUUUAGGGUUCUUUAUUGUGUAUUGCAUUUGUUAUUAUUUUAGAAAUCAGGCAUUCUGUCACUUAAUAUACAUGUCUACUCUUGUACUCAUAUAUGAAUGAGCUUGUAUUUUACUCUUGAUGUGAGUAUUUCAAGGAGAAUUUUAUUUUUGCUUUUAAAAGAAUCUAUAUUUUUCCUGUAAGUAAAUAGUGAUCUAGGAUUAAUUAAAUGGUUGAUGCAUUCACAUAAGAAAUGCAGUUUGCUGUAAUCCAAAUGAAUUAGUAAUAAUUUAAACAAUCCUUUAUAGGGGAGACAUCUAGAUAUAAUCUUUUUUGUUUUUUUAGUGAUGUUUUCCUCUCCUUUCAAAAAAAUAGUAAACAACAAAGGCGGAAGAAGAAAAAUUGAAGGCAUAUGAUCUCUCUGCUCUCACAGAAUUCCUUCUUGAUCCUGAGCCGACGGCACCGCGAAAACCUAGUGCCACUUCUCAGUACCAAUUUAGUAUUACCGGUUUUGAGCUCUAUAAUGAACAAGUCCUGUUCUCUUUUACUUAUUGUAUAUAACUUUUUUGGUAUCCACUGUUUGCUUCCUGAAUUUGGUUGGCAAUUUUCUUGUAUACAACUCUUAAAGUUGUUUAUUUAAAAAAAGCCAAGUUCCUAGUUGUUUAUAAGUUAUCUUGAAAGUGAUUAUACUCCCUGUACAGAUUGCACAGAAUAUAAGAACUCAAGUAAGACUUUAUGUCACUGUCUAGCUAUUUUUUGUCAAAUGAGUGGAGGAACUUUAAUUUGCUUUUAAAAUAAUAAAAAUAAUUUCUAGUUAUAUAGAGCAGAUCAAAAAAUACUUAAUAUGCUAAUCUAAUUUCUUUGAACAAACUAGGGUCCCUGAGCUUGAAAAUUUUUCGUUUGAUGUUAACCGACUUAGACUUAAUUAUUUAAGUCUCAUUCUCUGUUCCUGCAUGUGCUUUCUUGCUCUCUUUUUAUCCAUGCCUAUAUUGUGAAUUUUAACACUGUAUGAUAGGACCAUAGAUUUUUGUGAAGAGUAUAUAAUAGAGAGAGACCAGUUGAUGUAUAGUGUAACUCAUUGUAGAGAGAAAGCUAUGAUUCUGAUUUCUUCUUUUAUGAUCAAUAACAAAUCACAAAACUUAAUUCUUUUUUUUAUAUAGUUUAUUGCUUUCUAUCUUUCUGAUUCAAGAUAGUUUCACUUAAUUUUCUUGCCAAAACUGAUAAGCAGCAGCUCCAUGACCUACCAAUUGUAACGAAUUUUAUUUAUAAUAUGUAACAAUCUCAUGAGUAUUUUUUGACUUCUUUUAUGUUGGUGCAUUGGUUCUUUUAAUCAACAUUACAACUUGAAAGUGAAUCUGGCAUUUUUCUAUCAGAUAAAGAGGUACUUAUUUAUUUGCUACUCUAUUAAACUUAAAAGUAUCAUGUGUAAUUUAAACCUAUGCUUGUAAAUGAAUCAAUUUCUUGGAGGUGGUAUCCUUGGCCCUUCAGGAUCAUUGCCACUUGGACUGCACAAUCAUAUAGAACUCCUUUCAAACAAAAUUUUUUAUUACAAACACACAUCUAAUGUUUUAUUGACUUUGAUUUUAGCAGAAAAUCGUGAAACAGUAACAAUGGCUAUGAUGAGUAUGAAUUUAUAAUGUGACACAUUCUUGUACUCAUUUCAAUAUUUCAUCAUCACUUUUAUUCUCCAAUUUUCUGUGACGAAAAUAGAAUAGAGGGUUCUGUUCUGAAACAACAAACAGUUGAAAUGGGUUCCUCUGAGGAAACGGGUUCCUCCAGAAAUAUGGGUUCCUUUGAUGAUGCAGCACUAAUCGAAGAAGGACCACUUCUUCAAAUUUCUCUCUCUGUCUCUCUCUCUCAAACUUCAUAUCUUUUUGCCUUGUCUAUGAUGUUAGCUUCUACUUUGGCUUUUUUGUUUUUCUGAUAACAACAAUGACAACUAUGGUAACCCUAAUCAUGAUAAGUUUAUGUAGAAAUUGUGUGGAUUCAAGACAAUGCAGGAUGGAGUCUUGGUUUUGGCAUUUCCGCUAUAUUUAUGGGAGUAUCGAUUGUAAGCUUCUUUUUAGGCACACUAAUGUAUAGGUUUCUAAAACCAGGAGGGAGAAAUAUCUAGAUGCAAUGUAUUGGUCACUUGAAUUAUCAUAGGGCAAACCUAUUGUAGAAAUAUCUGGUACAAAUAAAUGUGUAAAACUGGAAAUCAAUGAUUAGAGAUUUUGGCCUCUAGGAUCAAUAUAAUUAAAAUGUGUAGUAGUUUUUAUUAUUUGUUUAUUAUAAUAUUACCAUUUGUUGACCAGGCAACUUUAACUGGGGCAUAUGUGGUUGCUCUUGGACCCUCAAUUGCAGGUAAUUUUGAUCUAAAGUACUAUUAUAUUAUGUAUGUAUGGAUUUGAUUCGACAAGGUGGUGCUAUUACUGCCGCCUUUUUCCUAAAACAGGUAUGUAUGAUGUGUCUAAUCAUAUAGAAUCUUGUUAUUCUCUUAAAAUUACUCCAUAAACUUAUUGGAAAAUAUCUACCAACAACUGCUAUUUUGCAGUUUGUUAAUGAAAAUGUUCAAUGGAUACAUAUCGACUUGGCCGGUCCGGUAUGGAACGAGAAAAAACGCUCAACAACAGGAUUUGGUGUUGCUACUUUAGUAGAAUGGAUUUUGAAAAAUGCUUCUCAAAAGUGAACUGAUAAUUGAUAUCUCCAAAUCUUGUUAUAUGGUGAGUGAAUCGGAGAGGAUGAGAUAAAUGCAUAUUGUGAUGUUCUUGGUUCAAUGGGUUUGAUUUUAUGAAUAAGUUUAGGGGAGAUCUAAAAGGGGGUCAGAUGAGGAGGCGUAUUUCACUGUAUUCAAACUUUUUUCUGUUUUUGACUUAGUUCAGAAUUAUAUUAGUCUCUUGACAGUUUGGUUUUAUUUUUCCUACCGGCCAUUUGUGAUUCUUACAUCUCCAUUAGUGUCCUUAAGUGAAAUUUGUGCAUUAUGCAUAUACCAUAAACAGCAGCAUGUGCAUUACUUUAAAAUAAGGGAAGCAACUUUUUUUUUUUGGGUGACUAAGGGAAGCAACUUUGUUGUGUCAUUAGACUUAGACUGAAUUCCUUGCCCUAUACUGCAUUUGAUAGAAAAAAAUAUAUAAAAUAAAAUAAAAUAAAAUAAAAUAAAAUAAAAUAAAGGAAUGAUAAAUAAAGGAAAAAAGGAAAUACUCUUAGGGUUUUUUGUUUAUUUAAUGUCUUUUACAUUUUUCUUGAAAUUUGUCAAUUUUGGUAUACUAACAAAGUAACAACACAUUUUUUUAAGCCUUUAAAAUUGAACUAAUAAUGAAGGUUAAAACUUGCUAAUGCAUCAUUAAUUCAUUAUUAUUUUACAAAAUUAAGAAAUUUAAUAAAUUAAAAAAUUAUAACUUCACAGAUCUAAAUACAAGCAAGUUCUUUUACAAUAAAAUGGACAAACCAUUAAGAUUUAAUAAGUAUAUCUCACCCUAGUAAUAUUAAAUGAAAUCUUGUAGUCAGCUCUCUAAUUUUCUUUUUCUCUCUCGUUUAAUUAUUGAUCCCCCAACAAAGAACCUAUAAGAAUAAUUAUUUAGAUAAGAAAAAUACCUAUACAUAUUAUCACCUAAUUAAGCUUUGUGAAUCCAAAAAUGAAUUUAAUUUAAUUAAAAAUUUAUUUGAUUAUAUCAAGUAUGGAUUAUUAUCACAGUAGAACUGGAAUUAAUAAGAUAGGUGUUACUAUAGAUUCAACACAAGUAUUCGAUCCAUAAUGAUUUUUAAGAAAAUUCACACUAAAUGAAAAUUUUCAAAUGAAGCUUUUUCUAAUCUUGCUGUUAUAUUUUCUACAAAGUUGGAAAUUAUGGCAUAGUGGAUGUCAUUUUAUGGAACAUUAACAAAAGUGAAGAGAACUAAAUAGAGGAAAACACGAUCAUACACAGAGAGAGAGAGAGAGGAAUGAGUGUUUCUUUGACGGAGAUGAUAAUGGAUAUGCAAAGGAAUUUCUCAAUAAGAGCUGUUAUCAAUAAUGCCAUAUGAAAUCUGCUCAAAUAACAAGAUGAGAAAACUUUAUAAUUGAGAACAGAUGAGACCUAAUUUUCGCUCUUGAUAUCAUUACUUUGCUUUUAAGAAAAUUACAAAGGUUAUGAUCAGUUUGGGAUAUCUCGGAAGGGCCCUAAGACACUACAGAUGAACAUUGUACCAUCUUCUAUGAUAAGGAAAAGGUAGAGCUUCUGGAAGGUGGAAAAUUUUGGUUUUCUGAGUCUCCAUCUGUACCUGGAAGCAUGUCCUGGGGUUCUGAAGUUCCUUGCAUUACAACAUGGGCUGUAUCCUUAUUAUUCUGUAUAUCUUUUUAUACUUCCAUUCAGUUAUAUGAGACUGAUGUGGCUGUAAAAUUAGUAUAUUAAUUGGUGUUAUCUUGUUCUGUUAGGUGGCAAAUAGGGAGCAGUUGAAUUCCUCAAGUUAAUAUGAAGAGCACGCUGCCUCUGCUGUGAUCGCCAGACGCAGGAUCUUCACAUUGAUUGGAUCCUUUUCAGAGGUAGAUCUCUGAUUCCUGUUUCAUGUGAGGUGGUGAAUGAUAAUAUUGAUGGGUACCAUCCAUCUUCUCAUUUUCACAUAUUUACUGAGUUCAUCCUUCCUCGCACCGUAAGGAUGCUAGAAUCGCCUGUACAAGAGGAUAACUAAAACUUGGCUUCUUUCUAUACCUGGAUUCCCACCGGCUGCGCCUCUUUUUGUCCUUGUAGCUACAAUCCCCCAUGAAUAUGUCUUGUAGUUAUAUUUCCGGGAUUGGUAUAUUGAAGUAGACUUUAUGGACCUCUAAAAAUUGUGGACAAAACAAAUCAUUAUGAGUAGUAUUUGUCAGCUAAAAUCUGCCUCCAAGUGAGGAUAAUGUAUUGUGCAAAGUUCAAUUUUCUUGUCAGCUUAAGUGGUUCAUGCUAUUUCUUUCUCAAGAUGUACUUU